AAUGUAUGAGAACAUAGUUUUGGUCCCAAAUGACAUCUGUGAUUACUGACUUUGAGAUCGUUCUGACAUU
Molecule: small nucleolar RNA, 70 nt
Organism: Rana temporaria (common frog)
Lineage: Eukaryota; Metazoa; Chordata; Amphibia; Anura; Ranidae
Product: small nucleolar RNA SNORD73
Exons: 1
Source: RefSeq, a predicted model, not a curated record